Molecule: transfer RNA, 16 nt
Filed under: Conardia compacta
Lineage: Eukaryota; Viridiplantae; Streptophyta; Bryopsida; Hypnales; Amblystegiaceae
Description: partial tRNA-Phe
Source: RNAcentral
AAAAAAAGCCGGAAUA